Molecule: ribosomal RNA, 466 nt
Filed under: uncultured bacterium
Lineage: Bacteria
Description: partial 16S ribosomal RNA
Rfam family: Bacterial small subunit ribosomal RNA
Source: RNAcentral
GACGAACGCUGGCGGCGUGCUUAACACAUGCAAGUCGAACGGAAAGGCCCAGCUUGCUGGGUACUCGAGUGGCGAACGGGCGAGUAACACGUGGGUGAUCUGCCCUGUUGUCUGGGAUAAGCCUGGGACACUGGGUCUAAUAUCCGAUAUGACCAACCGUCCUAUGGUGGGUGGUGGAGAGCUUUUGCGGUGUGGGAUGGGUCCGCGGCGUAUCAGCUUGUUGGUGGGGUAGUGGCCGACCAAGGCGACGACGGGUAGCCGACCUGAGAGGGGGAUCGGCCACAGUGGGACUGAGACACGGCCCAGACUCCUACGGGAGGCAGCAGUGGGGAAUAUUGCACAAUGGGGGCAAGCCUGAUGCAGCAACGCCGCGUGAGGGAUGACGGCCUUCGGGUUGUAAACCUCUUUCACCGGGGACGAAGCGUGAGUGACGGUACCUGGAGAAGAAGCACCGGCCAACUACGUG